RNAcentral lists this ribosomal RNA (321 nucleotides) under Triticum aestivum (bread wheat). RNAcentral describes it as "partial small subunit ribosomal RNA". The record is from RNAcentral. Lineage: Eukaryota; Viridiplantae; Streptophyta; Magnoliopsida; Poales; Poaceae.
AUGUUCGUCAUGCUUAACAGAGGGACGCCCGUGAGAUCUCCUGGUGGUGUUCGGACGCGGCCGCCAGAGUUGUGGCCUUGGCUGCGGCCAUGGGCAGUUGUUGGAGACAAGCGAGGUCGGGCUUGGUUCGUCGGAUCUGUGAGUGGAGAAGCUUGCAUUGUAGCAGGCCGUGUCUACCUACAAGACGGCCAUCGACAAUCAAUUCCUGAAGAAGUUAGCAGUCUGUGCAGUAUGCUAUGGAUCAUCGUGUCCAUCAAGAGCAAUCCCUAUUGUUUGUGGUACAUAUAUUCAUCUCUGUUGAAUCUGGAACUUGGUAACUAA